UGGGGAAUAUUGGACAAUGGGCGAAAGCCUGAUCCAGCCAUGCCGCGUGUGUGAAGAAGGUCUUCGGAUUGUAAAGCACUUUAAGUUGGGAGGAAGGGCAGUAAGCGAAUACCUUGCUGUUUUGACGUUACCGACAGAAUAAGCACCGGCUAACUCUGUGCCAGCAGCCGCGGUAAUACAGAGGGUGCAAGCGUUAAUCGGAAUUACUGGGCGUAAAGCGCGCGUAGGUGGUUCGUUAAGUUGAAUGUGAAAGCCCCGGGCUCAACCUGGGAACAGCAUCCAAAACUGGCGAGCUAGAGUAGGGCAGAGGGUGGUGGAAUUUCCUGUGUAGCGGAGAAAUGCGUAGAUAUAGGAAGGAACACCAGUGGCGAAGGCGACCACCUGGGCUCAUACUGACACUGAGGUGCGAAAGCGUGGGGAGCAAACAGG
Molecule: ribosomal RNA, 429 nt
Filed under: Pseudomonadota bacterium
Lineage: Bacteria; Pseudomonadati; Pseudomonadota
Description: Proteobacteria bacterium partial 16S ribosomal RNA
Rfam family: Bacterial small subunit ribosomal RNA
Source: RNAcentral